Molecule: ribosomal RNA, 331 nt
Filed under: uncultured bacterium
Lineage: Bacteria
Description: partial 16S ribosomal RNA
Rfam family: Bacterial small subunit ribosomal RNA
Source: RNAcentral
AAAAAAAAAAAGAAAUACAUCUGCAUCUACUUUUUCGUUGGUGAUAACGUAGGGACACUUCCGCUAAUCCCUCAUACGACCUACGGGUUACAUCAGGUGUUCUUCUGCCCUUGCGCUAUUGAAUAAUCCUAUUGCGGAUUAGCUAUUUUUCGUGUUAAAGGCCCACCAAGGCGACGAUCCGUAACUGUGUUGAGAGGAUGAGCAGACACACUGGAACUGAGACACGGUACAGACUCCUACGGGAGUCAGCAGUGGGGAAUAUUGGUACAUGGGCGCAAGCGUGAUCCAGCCAUACCGCGUGGGUGAAGAAGGCCUUUUUGUUUUAUAAUGC